CUUGGUCAUUUAGAGGAAGUAAAAGUCGNRRCNAGGUUUCCGUAGGUGAACCUGCGGAGGAUCAUUAUCGUACACAACCGAGGCGCGAGGGCUGUCGCUGACCUUCAAAGGUCGUGCACGCCCGAGCGCUCUCACACAAUCCAUAUCACCCCUUUGUGCAUCACCGCGCGGGUUCCCCCCUUUGCAGGGGGGCUCGCGUUUUCACAUAAAACUUGAUACAGUCUAGAAUGUUUGUUUUUGCGGUCACACGCAAUCAAUACAACUUUCAACAACGGAUCUCUUGGCUCUCGCAUCGAUGAAGAACGCAGCGAAAUGCGAUACGUAAUGUGAAUUGCAGAAUUCAGUGAAUCAUCGAAUCUUUGAACGCACCUUGCGCCCCUUGGCAUUCCGAGGGGCACACCCGUUUGAGUGUCGUGAAAUCCUCAAAACCCCUCUUCUUUCAUCGGAAUGGGGAUUUUGGACUUGGAGGUUCAAUGCUUGCUUUUGCUUUCGAAAGCAAGCUCCUCUUAAAUGAAUCAGUGGGGUCCGCUUUGCCGAUCCUUGACGUGAUAAGAUGUUUCUACGUUUUGGAUCUGGCAAUGUUUUCCUCGCUCCUAAUCGUCUCAUUGACAAAGGAUGGUGCUUCGGUCCCUGCCAUCUAUCUACGUUGGCGGGAGGCUGGACCCACAAAAAAGAAAACCUUGACCUCAAAUCGGGWGAGACUACCCGCUGAACUUAAGCAUAUCAAUAAGCGGAGGA
Molecule: ribosomal RNA, 738 nt
Filed under: Russula cremeirosea
Lineage: Eukaryota; Fungi; Basidiomycota; Agaricomycetes; Russulales; Russulaceae
Description: eukaryotic LSU rRNA
Rfam family: 5.8S ribosomal RNA (bases 261-414)
Source: RNAcentral